RNAcentral lists this long non-coding RNA (281 nucleotides) under Mytilus galloprovincialis (Mediterranean mussel). Lineage: Eukaryota; Metazoa; Mollusca; Bivalvia; Mytilida; Mytilidae. The record is from RNAcentral.
CAGUUUUUGGCUUAUAACUCAAAAACCAAAGCAUUUAGAGCAAAUCUGACAUAGGUAAAAUUGUUUAUCAGGUCAAGAUCUAUCUGCCCUGAAAUUUUCAGACGAAUCAGACAACCCGUUGUUGGGUUGCUGCCCCUAAAAUGGUAAUUUUAAGGAAAUUUUACUGUUUUUGGUUAUUAUCUUGAAUAUUAUUAUAGAUAGAGAUAAACUGUUAACAGCAAUAAUGUUCAGCAAAGUAAGAUUUACAAAUAAGUCAACAUGACCGAAAUGGUCAGUUGACC